GGGGCUAUAGCUCAGAUGGCAGAGUAUUUGCCUAGUAUGCAAAAUGAUCUGGGUUCAGUUCCUAGCACCA
Molecule: transfer RNA, 70 nt
Filed under: Mesocricetus auratus (golden hamster)
Lineage: Eukaryota; Metazoa; Chordata; Mammalia; Rodentia; Cricetidae
Rfam family: tRNA
About the family: Transfer RNA (tRNA) molecules are approximately 80 nucleotides in length. Their secondary structure includes four short double-helical elements and three loops (D, anti-codon, and T loops). Further hydrogen bonds mediate the characteristic L-shaped molecular structure. tRNAs have two regions of fundamental functional importance: the anti-codon, which is responsible for specific mRNA codon recognition, and the 3' end, to which the tRNAs corresponding amino acid is attached (by aminoacyl-tRNA synthetases). tRNAs cope with the degeneracy of the genetic code in two manners: having more than one tRNA (with a specific anti-codon) for a particular amino acid; and 'wobble' base-pairing, i.e. permitting non-standard base-pairing at the 3rd anti-codon position.
Source: Rfam by way of RNAcentral